This 408-nucleotide ribosomal RNA is filed under the name uncultured bacterium. RNAcentral describes it as "partial 16S ribosomal RNA". It matches the Rfam family "Bacterial small subunit ribosomal RNA", at positions 29 to 526 of the family's 1533-position model. The record is from RNAcentral.
AGUGAACGCUGGCGGCGUGCCUAAUACAUGCAAGUCGAACGGAGUGGCGCACGGGUGAGUAAUGUAUAGCUAAUCUGCCCUACACUAGAGGACAACAGUUGGAAACGACUGCUAAUACUCUAUAGUGUAGGAUGAGGCUAUAUUGUAUCAGCUAGUUGGUGAGGUAAUGGCUCACCAAGGCUAUGACGCAUAACUGGUCUGAGAGGAUGAUCAGUAAAACUGGAACGGAGACACGGUUCAGGAUCCUACGGGAGGGAGCAGUAGGGAAUAUGGCUAAAUGGGGGAAACCCUGAAGCAGCAACGGCGCGUGGAGGAUGACAAUUUGCGGAGAGUAAACUCCUUUUGUUAGGGAAGCGGUACCUAACGAAUAAGCACCGGCUAACUCCGUGCCAGCAGCCGCGGUAAUUC